RNAcentral lists this ribosomal RNA (273 nucleotides) under uncultured bacterium. RNAcentral's name for it is "partial 16S ribosomal RNA". It matches the Rfam family "Bacterial small subunit ribosomal RNA", at positions 524 to 796 of the family's 1533-position model. The record is from RNAcentral.
UACGUAGGGUGCGAGCGUUGUCCGGAAUUAUUGGGCGUAAAGGGCUCGUAGGCGGUUUGUCGCGUCGGAAGUGAAAACUCAGGGCUUAACCCUGUUCGUGCUUCCGAUACGGGCAGACUAGAGGUAGGCAGGGGAGAACGGAAUUCCUGGUGUAGCGGUGGAAUGCGCAGAUAUCAGGAGGAACACCGGUGGCGAAGGCGGUUCUCUGGGCCUAUUCUGACGCUGAGGAGCGAAAGCAUGGGGAGCGAACAGGAUUAGAAACCCCCGUAGUCC